RNAcentral lists this ribosomal RNA (1639 nucleotides) under metagenome. RNAcentral's name for it is "bacterial LSU rRNA". It matches the Rfam family "Bacterial large subunit ribosomal RNA", at positions 1262 to 2925 of the family's 2925-position model. The record is from RNAcentral.
AAUAAGGAGCUGUGGAUUUUUAAGAAGAGAGAAUGCCGGAAUGAGUAGCGAGAUGGAGGUGGGAAUCCUCCAGGCCGAAUAUCUAAGGUUUCCAGAGUAAAGCUGAUCUGCUCUGGGUAAGUCGGGGCCUAAGGCGAGGUCGAAAGACGUAGUCGAUGGAUAACAGGUUGAAAUUCCUGUACUGCAUAUCAUCAGAACUGUGGGGACACAGAGAGAUACCGGAACCUGGGAAUGAAGAUACCAGGGCAAGCGAGGUAGGUGCUAAGCUGGCAAAUCCGCUUAGCAAGCCGAAGACGUGAUGCGGAGCGAAUUAAAGUAGUGAAGUCCGGGAUUCGAGCUGUCGAGAAAAGCCGCUAUUGUGUGAUAUGUACCCGUACCGUAAACCGACACAGGUGGAUGAGGAGAGAAUCCUAAGGCCGGCGGGAGAAGCAUUGUUAAGGAACUCGGCAAAAUGACCCUGUAACUUCGGGAUAAAGGGUGCCACAGAGAUGUGGCCGCAGAGAAUAGGCUCAAGCAACUGUUUAGCAAAAACACAGGUCUAUGCGAAACCGAAAGGUGAGGUAUAUGGGCUGACGCCUGCCCGGUGCUGGAAGGUUACGAGGAGAGGUUAGAGCAAUCGAAGCUUUGAAUCUAAGCCCCAGUAAACGGCGGCCGUAACGAUAACGGUCCUAAGGUAGCGAAAUUCCUUGUCGGGUAAGUUCCGACCCGCACGAAAGGCGUAAUGAUUUGAGCGCUGUCUCGACAAUGCACCCGGUGAAAUUGAAAUACCAGUGAAGAUGCUGGUUACCUGCGCCAGGACGGAAAGACCCCAUGGAGCUUUACUCUAGCUUGAUACUGGGAUUCGGUACUGCAUGUACAGGAUAGGUGGGAGACGAAGAGGACAGGACGCCAGUCUUGUCGGAGUCGCUGUUGGGAUACCACCCUUGUGGUACUGGAUUUCUAACCAACCUCCGUGACCCGGAGGUGGGUCAAUGUCAGGUGGGGAGUUUGACUGGGGCGGUCGCCUCCGAAAGGGUAUCGGAGGCGCUCAAAGGUUCCCUCAGAAUGGUUGGAAACCAUUCAAAGAGUGCAAAGGCAGAAGGGAGCUUGACUGCGAGACCGACGGGUCGAGCAGGUACGAAAGUAGGACUUAGUGAUCCGGUGGUAGAAAGUGGGAUUGCCAUCGCUCAACGGAUAAAAGCUACCCUGGGGAUAACAGGCUUAUCACUCCCAAGAGUUCACAUCGACGGAGUGGUUUGGCACCUCGAUGUCGGCUCAUCGCAUCCUGGGGCUGAAGUAGGUCCCAAGGGUUGGGCUGUUCGCCCAUUAAAGCGGUACGCGAGCUGGGUUCAGAACCUCGUGAGACAGUUCGGUCCCUAUCCGGCGCGGGCGUAGGAUAUUUGAGAGGAGCUGCCCUUAGUACGAGAGGACCGGGGUGGACUGGCCUCUGGUGUAUCUGUUGAGCUAUCAAGCUCAUGGCAGAGUAGCCAAGCCGGGACGGGAUAAACGCUGAAGGCAUCUAAGCGUGAAGCCCCCCUCAAGAUGAGAUAUCCCAUACGCAAGUAGUAAGACCCCUUGAAGACGACGAGGUAGAUAGGGCAGAGGUGGAAGCGUAGUAAUACGUGAAGCUGACUGUUACUAAUCGGUCGAGGGCUUAACC